RNAcentral lists this unclassified non-coding RNA (279 nucleotides) under plant metagenome. RNAcentral describes it as "partial contains small subunit ribosomal RNA, internal transcribed spacer 1, and 5.8S ribosomal RNA". The record is from RNAcentral.
UUUCCGUAGGUGAACCUGCGGAAGGAUCAUUAUUGUAUAACCGAGCUGCGAGGGCCGUCUCUGACCCGAAAGGUCGCGCACGCCCGAGUGCCCUCACCCACACCCAUCUCACCCCCACGUGCACCACCGCGCGGCUCCCCACUUGGCUUGUUUGGAGGGGGGUCUCCGUUUUCACACAUACUCUGUAUGCAGCGUAGAAUGUAUCUACUGAUCUCUCGAUCACGCAAUCAAUAAAACUUUCAACAACGGAGCUCUUGGCUCUCGCAACGUACAAGAACC